ACAGAUGUUCAUAACAUAAAGUGCAUAUUGUGUUUGUUUUUGAUGAGAAAUGUAAGCAAAAAUGUUUCCGAGAUAUAAUAAUUUCUGCCAGACUUUUGAAAAAAAAGAUUUUACAUUUGUUCCCAACUUCCCACAUCCAUGUUUCAGCAGUUGGCGUUGAAGAUGAUGUACUCAAAUGGUACAAAAGCUACUUAGAAAGCAGGAAGGCUGUACGACCGUGUUGGAUAUGUUUUGGGCAUGACUGCAGGUGCAGUGAGGGUCACCAUCAACCGUGCCUCCAGUUCCGUUCCUUCACCAUCGUCAGGAUCACAAGCGCCGCCUGUCUUUGAUAACUUUAUGAUUGGUGCCAUUCACCGCUGUAUCCACAGAAAGUUUGGCGAGAAGGGGCAUUUUACUGUUGGUUCCUUGACAAAUGACCUCAAAACAGCUGGCAUUAUUCCGGAAAUAACAUCAUGGGCUUCAGUACUUCGACUCUUGCAUUCUAUGGGAUUCAAGUAUAAAACUUCCCAACGUAAGAUGUCUGUAAGGAAGGAAUCUCUGGAAAUUGUAUGCUGCCGGAUAACUGCUCUCCGUGAUCUACGACGUCAGCGGGAGUAGGGGAGAGUGGUAGUUUACGUAGAUGAAACCUGGUUUACGACAAGGAUGGCCCACACCAGGGAAUGGCCAGACACUACGCAGGAUGUCACCAGCCCCACUUACAGUCGUCAGUUUGCUCCUGGAGAAGGUGAGCGUUUUGUGGUGGUGGCAGCUGGCACGAAUGAGGGCUUUAUAGAUGAUUUAUACCUGUGCUACCUGGCCAAGACCAAUCAGGGAGACUACCAUGCUGAGAUGAAUGCAAAGUUGUUCAGACAGUGGCUAACGCCGCAACUUCUGCCAUCCCUUCCCGAGCCAUACACUGAUCGAGGAGAGUCGAUGCCCCACAUCAGCAACCAAAAAGGCAGAUCUCGUCAGGUAUUAAUGUUCGGAGCUGCUGCUUAUUUGCCAAAAGAAUCGGCCGGAGCGAUGGUAUGAGAUUGACAACACCAUUCGUGAAUGGGGCCAUGAGGUUGUGCGUUUGCCCCUCGCUCACCCCGAGCUCAAUGCAAUUGGACAGGUGUGGGGGGGGUCAUGAAGAGACACGUACGUUCCUCCCUCCGUCGAUUUACUCGAUCCAACCUGCAGUGUGGGCAGGAGCAGUUCGACAAUCCCGUCAUUUCGAGGAGUAUUGGGAGUCGGACAAUAUCCGAGAGACAGUAGAACCAGUCAUCAUUAGCCUGGCCAGUGACGAUGAGGACGGGGAAGAUGAUCUUUUCUUCGAGAG
Macrobrachium nipponense is the source of this 1300-nucleotide long non-coding RNA. RefSeq lists it as uncharacterized. The transcript is spliced from 3 exons. NCBI's taxonomy places the organism in Eukaryota, Metazoa, Arthropoda, Malacostraca, Decapoda, Palaemonidae. The record is from RefSeq and is a predicted model, not a curated record.